Micropterus dolomieu (smallmouth bass) is the source of this 708-nucleotide long non-coding RNA. RefSeq lists it as uncharacterized. The transcript has 2 exons. NCBI's taxonomy places the organism in Eukaryota, Metazoa, Chordata, Actinopteri, Centrarchiformes, Centrarchidae. The record is from RefSeq and is a predicted model, not a curated record.
GCGGACGAUAUGCAGGAAGAAGAAAUUGCGACGUUGAACAAACAUUCGUGCUGUUGCCACAAAUCUACAAGCUGAUCCUCCAUCUCUGCUGUCCACAUUAAUUUCACCUUGUGCUGCGCCAUGACUGUGUGUCUUCAAUCAUCUUGCUUUCUGAUUGGAUAUUGUUUCGUUUCACGUGAUAAUCUCCAGAACGUGCGCGCGUUUGUCCUCGGGGAUCCCCCAACACCUCAGGAUUUCUGAUCGAUCGGGGCGCCUCCGACGUUCUUUCGAUCAGUGGUGACGUUUCCCCAUCACAGAGGCUAAGCUACAGUGUUGGAAUCCAGACUUCUCCUUGCUGGUGGACAAGAAGUGCUUCUGUUUGGCGACAUUCACCUCCAGAACGCUGGGCUACAACAGACCCAGUACAGACUCAGACAGUGAGAAAGCAUAGAAGAAACGCAUGCUUAUUGGAAAUACUCACACACGUACACAUAUGAGACCAAUAUAUAAUAUAUAAGAGCACAGGCAUGAGUUAGCUAAUAUCAGGACAAUUGUUGAGCACAGUCAAUGUCAGCAUGGCUCUUGGGUUGUAAACCUCUGUUAACAUAUGUGAUUUCUGUUAAAUCCAAGUUCCGAUCUAUCAUGACUGUUUUAUGAAUGUCUCUGUCUGUUGACUUUUAUUGUUGCCAUUUUCCUUUCUUCUUAAUAAACAUGUAAUUUGCACCAUGA